Molecule: ribosomal RNA, 757 nt
Filed under: Ralstonia sp. enrichment culture clone MC18B6-21
Lineage: Bacteria; Pseudomonadati; Pseudomonadota; Betaproteobacteria; Burkholderiales; Burkholderiaceae
Description: bacterial SSU rRNA
Rfam family: Bacterial small subunit ribosomal RNA
Source: RNAcentral
AUUGAACGCUGGCGGCAUGCCUUACACAUGCAAGUCGAACGGCAGCAUGAUCUAGCUUGCUAGAUUGAUGGCGAGUGGCGAACGGGUGAGUAAUACAUCGGAACGUGCCCUGUAGUGGGGGAUAACUAGUCGAAAGAUUAGCUAAUACCGCAUACGACCUGAGGGUGAAAGUGGGGGACCGCAAGGCCUCAUGCUAUAGGAGCGGCCGAUGUCUGAUUAGCUAGUUGGUGGGGUAAAGGCCCACCAAGGCGACGAUCAGUAGCUGGUCUGAAAGGACGAUCAGCCACACUGGGACUGAGACACGGCCCAGACUCCUACGGGAGGCAGCAGUGGGGAAUUUUGGACAAUGGGCGAAAGCCUGAUCCAGCAAUGCCGCGUGUGUGAAGAAGGCCUUCGGGUUGUAAAGCACUUUUGUCCGGAAAGAAAUGGCUCUGGUUAAUACCUGGGGUCGAUGACGGUACCGGAAGAAUAAGGACCGGCUAACUACGUGCCAGCAGCCGCGGUAAUACGUAGGGUCCAAGCGUUAAUCGGAAUUACUGGGCGUAAAGCGUGCGCAGGCGGUUGUGCAAGACCGAUGUGAAAUCCCCGAGCUUAACUUGGGAAUUGCAUUGGUGACUGCACGGCUAGAGUGUGUCAGAGGGGGGUAGAAUUCCACGUGUAGCAGUGAAAUGCGUAGAGAUGUGGAGGAAUACCGAUGGCGAAGGCAGCCCCCUGGGAUAACACUGACGCUCAUGCACGAAAGCGUGGGGAGCAAACA